UACGUAGGGGGCAAGCGUUGUCCGGAAUCAUUGGGCGUAAAGAGCGCGUAGGCGGUCCGGUAAGUCCGCUGUGAAAGUCAAGGGCUCAACCCUUGAAUGCCGGUGGAUACUGUCGGGCUAGAGUCCGGAAGAGGCGAGUGGAAUUCCUGGUGUAGCGGUGAAAUGCGCAGAUAUCAGGAGGAACACCAAUGGCGAAGGCGGCUCUCUGGGACGGUACUGACGCUGAGACGCGAAAGCGUGGGGAGCGAACAGG
This 253-nucleotide ribosomal RNA is filed under the name uncultured bacterium. Its description in RNAcentral is "partial 16S ribosomal RNA". It matches the Rfam family "Bacterial small subunit ribosomal RNA", at positions 524 to 776 of the family's 1533-position model. The record is from RNAcentral.